Molecule: ribosomal RNA, 357 nt
Filed under: uncultured bacterium
Lineage: Bacteria
Description: bacterial SSU rRNA
Rfam family: Bacterial small subunit ribosomal RNA
Source: RNAcentral
GAGUUUUGAUCCUGGCUCAGGAUGAACGCUAGCUACAGGCUUAACACAUGCAAGUCGAGGGGAAACGACAUCGAAAGCUUGCUUUUGAUGGUCGUCGACCGGCGCACGGGUGAGUAACGCGUAUCCAACCUGCCCAUCACUUGGGGAUAACCUUGCGAAAGUAAGACUAAUACCCAAUGAUAUCUCUAGAAGACAUCUGAAAGAGAUUAAAGAUUUAUCGGUGAUGGAUGGGGAUGCGUCUGAUUAGCUUGUUGGCGGGGUAACGGCCCACCAAGGCAACGAUCAGUAGGGGUUCUGAGAGGAACGGUCCCCCACAUUGGAACUGAGACACGGUCCAAACUCCUACGGGAGGCAGAA